CCUACGUGAGGCUGCAGUGGGGAAUAUUGGACAAUGGGCGAAAGCCUGAUCCAGCCAUGCCGCGUGUGUGAAGAAGGCCUUCGGGUUGUAAAGCACUUUCAGUGGGGAAGAAAGCCUUGGGGCUAAUACCCUCGAGGAAGGACAUCACCCACAGAAGAAGCACCGGCUAACUCCGUGCCAGCAGCCGCGGUAAUACGGAGGGUGCGAGCGUUAAUCGGAAUUACUGGGCGUAAAGCGCGCGUAGGCGGUCUGAUAAGCCGGUUGUGAAAGCCCCGGGCUCAACCUGGGAACGGCAGCCGGAACUGUCAGGCUAGAGUGCAGGAGAGGAAGGUAGAAUUCCCGGUGUAGCGGUGAAAUGCGUAGAGAUCGGGAGGAAUACCAGUGGCGAAGGCGGCCUUCUGGACUGACACUGACGCUGAGGUGCGAAAGCGUGGGUAGCAAACAGGAUUAGAUACCCUUGUAGUC
RNAcentral lists this ribosomal RNA (465 nucleotides) under Vreelandella stevensii. RNAcentral's name for it is "partial 16S ribosomal RNA". It matches the Rfam family "Bacterial small subunit ribosomal RNA", at positions 338 to 795 of the family's 1533-position model. Lineage: Bacteria; Pseudomonadati; Pseudomonadota; Gammaproteobacteria; Oceanospirillales; Halomonadaceae. The record is from RNAcentral.